This 520-nucleotide ribosomal RNA is filed under the name uncultured Entrophospora. RNAcentral describes it as "SSU rRNA". It matches the Rfam family "Eukaryotic small subunit ribosomal RNA", at positions 569 to 1085 of the family's 1831-position model. Lineage: Eukaryota; Fungi; Glomeromycota; Glomeromycetes; Entrophosporales; Entrophosporaceae. The record is from RNAcentral.
AGCAGCCGCGGUAAUUCCAGCUCCAAUAGCGUAUAUUAAAGUUGUUGCAGUUAAAAAGCUCGUAGUUGAAUUUCGGGAUUGACACAUCGGUCGUGCCUUAAGGGGUAUGAACUGGUGUAGUCAAUUUCUCACCUUCUGGAGAACCGCGAUGCCCUUAAUUGGGUGUCACGGGGAACCAGGACCUUUACUUUGAAAAAAUUAGAGUGUUUAAAGCAGGCAUUUUGCUUGAAUACAUUAGCAUGGAAUAAUAAAAUAGGACGGCAUGAUUCUAUUUUGUUGGUUUCUAGGAUCACCGUAAUGAUUAAUAGGGAUAGUUGGGGGCAUUAGUAUUCAAUUGUCAGAGGUGAAAUUCUUGGAUUUAUUGAAGACUAACUACUGCGAAAGCAUUUGCCAAGGAUGUUUUCAUUAAUCAAGAACGAAAGUUAGGGGAUCGAAGACGAUCAGAUACCGUCGUAGUCUUAACUAUAAACUAUGCCGACUAGGGAUCGGAUGAUGUUAAUUUUUAAUGACUCAUUCGGCG